Molecule: ribosomal RNA, 497 nt
Filed under: uncultured bacterium
Lineage: Bacteria
Description: partial 16S ribosomal RNA
Rfam family: Bacterial small subunit ribosomal RNA
Source: RNAcentral
GACGAACGCUGGCGGCGUGCCUAAUACAUGCAAGUUGAGCGCUGAAGGUUGGUACUUGUACCAACUGGAUGAGCAGCGAACGGGUGAGUAACGCGUGGGGAAUCUGCCUUUGAGCGGGGGACAACAUUUGGAACCGAAUGCUAAUACCGCAUAAAAACUUUAAACACAAGUUUUAAGUUUGAAAGAUGCAAUUGCAUCACUCAAAGAUGAUCCCGCGUUGUAUUAGCUAGUUGGUGAGGUAAAGGCUCACCAAGGCGAUGAUACAUAGCCGACCUGAGAGGGUGAUCGGCCACAUUGGGACUGAGACACGGCCCAAACUCCUACGGGAGGCAGCAGUAGGGAAUCUUCGGCAAUGGACGAAAGUCUGACCGAGCAACGCCGCGUGAGUGAAGAAGGGUUUCGGAUCGUAAAACUCGGUUGGUAGAGAAGAACGUUGGUGAGAGUGGAAAGCUCAUCAAGUGACGGUAACUACCCAGAAAGGGACGGCUAACUACGUG